This 4365-nucleotide long non-coding RNA is filed under the name Papio anubis (olive baboon). RNAcentral's name for it is "lncRNA (ENSPANG00000037428.1)". The record is from RNAcentral. Lineage: Eukaryota; Metazoa; Chordata; Mammalia; Primates; Cercopithecidae.
AGCAAAUGCUGGGGUCCAGGGCCCUCUCUGCAGAAGCUGCUUGCCUACAUGGAUGGACCUUUGCAUCCCUCCAUCCAUCUGCUGACUCAUUCACUCAUUCCUUCACUCAUAGGGUGCUUUCAAAGAGCCUGCUCUUCUCCAUGGAGAACCAGACGGUCCAGGUAUGAGAGGCUGAGGGACUGCUGCCCAGAUGAGGUGGGGUGAAGAUGACCUCUCUCCAGGGUGAUGUGAGGAAGUGGAGCUCCGGAAGAGCGUGCUGUUGGCCCACUGUGUGUGCUCAGUUACUGGAAGAUGUUUUGGCUGUGGCCUCAGACAGGCACUUGAGGCAUAGAUGUAUAUACAGGUCUGCCACCCGAAGAGGCAAACUGACUUGGCUUGGCCCAGCCUCUCACCCCUGUGGAGGGGACCUCUUCCUACUCAUUGCAGACGGGUUCACUUGUUCCCAUCACAAGCGCAGAAUGCCUUGUACUUCCCACCCCUUUGCUCCCCAGGGAGCUCUGCAAGUCCCCAGAAAUACUUGCCCAACCACUGGCACCCUUGGCAAGGUCCAGCUGCUGACCACCAGCGCCCUGCGACUCCCAGUGCCCGUGACGUCUGGAGGAACUGAGCAAUGGCUGAGGUGGAAUUUCAUUUGGCACUUAAUGCAAUCCUCUGCUUCUGCCAGAGGCGGUGUAUUCUAUAUAAAGCUGCCAAACCUGGCCGUCUUCUCACUGAGCCUUGACCCCUUCCAUCCAAGGGCAAGGCCACGGAUCGCUGUGCAUGACUCCCGCGCAGUAAAUGUGGCAUUGGGACCUAGCCCAGCUGAGCUGAGCAAAGCAGGCCUGCCUGGCGGAAGUGGGUCCUCUCCACUCUAACCUCUGGCUCUGAUGAGCAGCGGCUACAUAAACUGAGACAGGAUAUAGACACAUCCUGCCUGAGUUAGCAGCAAGAAAUAGCCGCCCCCCUUCCGCCCCCCCCCACCCCCCUGCCGUUCUCGCACAGCAGGGAUCCUGCCAUAAAUCAGUCCGCAGUCUAAAGCGGAAUGGCUUGCAAGCAAGGGCUGCGCCGCUGUUUGUCUCCCAAGGCAAGUGUUGAAGGUCUGAAACCUGAGUCCUGGAGAACUGCUUGAGCGGCUGGGCUGGGCUGGGCACGGGGGCGGGGGUCAGGCAAGCCCAUCCUCUUUAGACAUGGGAAUGCCUGUCAGCUUCACCUCCUCAGUGCCUGAAUUGGAAUAAUGACAGUGGCUUCUGUCCCUUUAACCCAGGACCCGCCAUAUACACACACACAAACACGUGCUCAAGUUACACACACACACGUAAACUCCGGGAACCACAGUCUCAUGUACAAUGAUAUAAACAUGCCCAGCACGGAUCCAGCACUUAUGAUGUGUCAGUCUCUGUGCCGGGACAUUGACACGGACUUCUUACUGCUGGAUGAGGAAUCUCCUGUUAUUAUUCCUACUUUGCAGAUGAGGAAACUGGAGCUAAGAGAGGCUGCCUUGUUUAGAGGCAGUGCAGUGAUCCCAGUGCAGACUGAGGGGCCUCGCUCUCAAGUACCAUUGAUGCUCGCACACUCCCAGGCCGACCCAAGCACAACCACGGGCGCGCGGAGUGCCGUGUACACACGUAGACCGAAGCUACGCUCCUCCAUGCCAAGCUCCAGGCUCAGGCAGGGUGAGGGUUGAGGCCUCACAACUCCCUGGAUUUCAAAGACUUGUAAAAGAGUUGGUGUCUCCAAUACCCAUAUCAUCAUCGUAUCAAUAAGGUAACAUUAUCACAUGAUAGGCUCAGGCUCUCUCCUCUCUGACAGACUCUAAGAAUAAGACCGCGGCAGGGUGGGGGAUAAGAGGGAUAUGCAUUAGGUUUUUAGGUAAAAUAAAAUGGUAGUUAUUAUUGCAAAAGUAACAGCAGAGGAAGAGGGCAGAGAGAGGCCCAGCAAUGUUUCCAACCACCUACAAAGACUUUCAUCGCAUAUGAUUUCCUGUCAGCAAGAAAACGUGAUGGUUUAAAAGAGAAAGAAAACAAGCAGCGAGGAAUGACAAAUCCCCAAAGGACCCAGGCCGCAGGAUUCCCCCGCAUCUGUGUGCCUUUGCGGCGCCCAGCGGAGCGAGCAAGUCCCUGGGCAAGGCUGGAGUUGCCUGGAGUUCACCAGAGCCUGCCCGGUCGGCCCCUGGCUGGGGGAGCAGCACAGACGCAACUUGUGAUGUGGACUCUUCCCUAACUGUUCUUUAGGGGGACAGUGCUGGCCCCACACAUUCCACAUGCCCCGCACAAAGAAACAGAAAGCGGGCGACACGCCCUGGGCGGGCGGGCUGGCGGCCUCUCCAGCUCGGGGCGCGUGGAGGCUGCGCGUCGCCGUCCGGGACGCGGGACAGGGACUCCGCGCAGCCCAGGCGCCGGGGAACCGGGGCUGGAGUCGGGGAUCUGAGCCCAGCGGGCGCCUCCUCCGCCUGGAGGCCGGGCACGGACCGGGACACCCGGGAGUCCGUGACCGCGGCUCGGCCCCUGGCUGCUGCGGGCCGCGGCCUCCAGUGGGUCCCCAGGACCCCUCCCCACGGCGGGUACUCACCGAGGCUGAGUGGCCGCGCCGUGCCGUUGGGGCUGCUCGUCCUGGGCAUCAGCCCGGGCAGAGACCGCGGGGAAGGGCCGGACCGGGCCGGGCCGGGGGAGGGUCGCGCUCCCGGGCUCCUGACCCUCAGCCGAGAGAGGAAGCGGCACCUGGGUCACACUCCUCCCGCGCGGGCCGAGGGGAGGGGCUCUGGCCCGGAGAUAGGCAGACUUCAUUUUUUUUCUGCAGACUUGGCUAGUGGGGUUUCCACCCUUUUUUUUUUUUUUUUUGAACACACACCCGCCCACUUCUGAACUCUUCUUUGCUCCAACUUUCCUGCGCAAGAACCACGCUUUUCUAACCGUUUCUCUUUCCAUCUGCCACUACCGGAUACAGAGGUUGUGGUUGAGAAUUCCCCCUGGAGUGCAGGGAAAACUCUCCAAUGUGUCAAGAUGGCCUGGCCCAGCACUGUCGGGAAUGGUGACCAAAUAGGGCAGACCUGUGUUGAAAUCUUGGCUGGCUGCGCCGCUGGAUAGCUGGGCGGCCUCUCUGAGCUAGCCACGGGGCAUUUGUCCCUGGAGAGAGUCCCUGUCUUGUUGGCCUUUGGGGGCCCUGUACCCAUGGAUGGGGUGUUGAGCAAAGAUCGUUCCAAAACAGGAAGAAUUGCUGGACAAGGGUUGUGAUUUGUUCCCAUUGCUUUUGUGUGAAGCUGCCAGACACAGUGCAGUUUGUGAAUUCGCUCUACUUUUGCCAUGAAAACCUCCACAAGGAUUUCGUUACACACCUUGGUUGGUUAAAUGCAGUCAACUGGCACCACCUACAAAAAAGUGUAUCAUAGCAUUAUCUGCCCCUUCUGCCCAGAGACAAGGGCAGGGAACUUGAGGCCCUUGCUUUAAAUCCCCGCCCAGGGGAACACCCUGUGCUUCUCCUGUGUGAUAUCUGAACCGUCCUGUGCUGCUUUUCUUUUUUUUUUUUAAAUUGUACUUUAUGUUCUAGGGUACAUGUGCACAACGUGCAGGUUUGUUACAUAUAUAUACUUGUGCCAUGUUGGUGUGCUGCACCCAUUAACUCGCCAUUUACAUUAGGUAUGUCUCCUAAUGCUAUCCCUCCCCCUCCCGCCACCCCACCACAGGCCCAGGUGUGUGAUGUUCCCCUUCCUGUGUUCAAGUGUUCUCAUUGUUCAGUUCCCACCUGUGAGUGAGAACAUGCGGUGUUUGGUUUUCUGUUCUUGUGUUAGUUUGCUGAGAAUGAUGGUUUCCAGCUGCAUCCAUGUCCCUACAAAGGACAUGAACUCAUCCUUUUUUAUGGCUGCAUAGUAUUCCAUGAUGUGUAUGUGCCACAUUUUCUUAAUCCAGUCUGUCAUUGAUGGUUAUUUGGGUUGGUUCCAAGUCUUUGCUAUUGUGAAUAGUGCCGCAAUAAACAUAUGUACUUUAUAGUUCCCCAAGCACUUUUGUGACGCCCUCGUCUCCCCUACCUUCUGCCAUUAAGGCCUGUCCUGCACAAUCCAGAGAGCCAGGCCAGUUGUCUGUACAAUGUAUGGGCAGUGCCUUUGGGGCUGUCAUCUGCAUUGAAUACAAUGAGAGGCUGAGCCCUGGAGAUGUGCAACACUGAGGCUUUGCUCACCUCUACCUGGGCUGCACAAACUCCAGGCCUUCUUGACGCAGUGGGAAAGCACUUAUGAUUCACUUUAGUUAGAUCAUGAAGAACCCCCGAUGCUGACAGAUCUUUAGUCCAACUGCCAUGUGCAGCACAGCCAUGUUGAAUUGAAAUAAACUCCUCACAGAAUGCCCUGAGUCUUGAUUUCCUCAUCUAUAAAAUGGAGGCAAGAACACCUGCAUU